Molecule: ribosomal RNA, 1602 nt
Filed under: Anhinga rufa (African darter)
Lineage: Eukaryota; Metazoa; Chordata; Aves; Suliformes; Anhingidae
Description: 16S ribosomal RNA
Rfam family: Bacterial large subunit ribosomal RNA
Source: RNAcentral
AGCCCAAAACUAGCCCAACCAUAUACCACAACUCGACAGACUAAAAACAGCUCUUGCCAUUAAACUAAAACAUUCUCAUCAACCUAGUAUUGGCGAUAGAAAAGACAAACCUGGCGCAAUAGAGAACACGUACCGUAAGGGAAAGCUGAAAUAGCAAUGAAACCAAAGCAUCAAACAGCAAAGAUAAACCCUUGUACCUCUUGCAUCAUGAUUUAGCAAGAACAACCAAGCAAAGCGGACUUAAGCUUGCCAUCCCGAAACCCAAGCGAGCUACUUACAAGCAGCUACCUGAGCGAACCCGUCUCUGUUGCAAAAGAGUGGGACGACUUGUCAGUAGAGGUGAAAAGCCAACCGAGCUGGGUGAUAGCUGGUUGCCUGUGAACCGAAUUUAAGUUCUCUCUUAACUCUACUCCACGGACAACAUACCCAACCCCCAUGUAGCGAGCUAAGAGCUAUUUAAAGGAGGUACAGCUCCCUUAAAAAAGAAUACAACCUCCACUAGCGGAUAAACUAACAACCCCACAUUCCAACACAUGUAGGCCUUAAAGCAGCCAUCAACAAAGAAUGCGUCAAAGCUCCUCAGUCAAAAAUCUAAAAACAACCUCACUCCCUUACCCCAAACAGGCUAAUCUAUCAAAAUAGAAGAACUAAUGCUAAAAUGAGUAACUAGGACCACUCCUCUCCAAGCGCAAACUUACAUCCCACACAUUAUUAACAGACCUUGACUAAUACUACCAACCCAACAAGACUUCAUAUUAAACCCACCACUGUUACCCCAACUCAGGAGCGCUCUAUGAGAAAGAUUAAAAUCUGUAAAAGGAACUAGGCAAACCAAGGGCCCGACUGUUUACCAAAAACAUAGCCUUCAGCCAACUAAAAUAAGUAUUGAAGGUGAAGCCUGCCCAGUGACACUAUGUUCAACGGCCGCGGUAUCCUAACCGUGCGAAGGUAGCACAACCAAUUGUCUCAUAAAUCGAGACCUGUAUGAAUGGCCAAACGAGGUCCUAACUGUCUCUUGCAGAUAAUCAGUGAAAUUGAUCUCCCUGUGCAAAAGCAGGAAUAACUUCAUAAGACGAGAAGACCCUGUGGAACUUAAAAAUCAACAGCCACUCCAUGCAUAUAAAAGCCUACCAGGCUCACUGCCACAGACACUGGUCUGUAUUUUUCGGUUGGGGCAACCUUGGAGAAAAACGAAUCCUCCAAAACCAAGACCACCACUCUUGACUAAGAGCGACCCCUCAACGUACUAACAGUAAUCAGACCCAAUAUAAUUGAUCAAUGGACCAAGCUACCCCAGGGAUAACAGCGCAAUCUCCUUCAAGAGCCCAUAUCGACAAGGAGGUUUACGACCUCGAUGUUGGAUCAGGACAUCCUAAUGGUGCAGACGCUAUUAAGGGUUCGUUUGUUCAACGACUAACAGUCCUACGUGAUCUGAGUUCAGACCGGAGCAAUCCAGGUCGGUUUCUAUCUAUGCACAUACCCUUCCUAGUACGAAAGGACCGGAAGAGUGGGGCCCAUGCCUAAAGCACGCCUCCCCUCUAAGUAAUGAAUCCAACUAAAUGCGAAAGAGGACUAACACAACCCCGUCCUAGAAAAGGACCG